This 1076-nucleotide ribosomal RNA is filed under the name Limosilactobacillus fermentum. Its description in RNAcentral is "bacterial SSU rRNA". It matches the Rfam family "Bacterial small subunit ribosomal RNA", at positions 299 to 1368 of the family's 1533-position model. The record is from RNAcentral. Lineage: Bacteria; Bacillati; Bacillota; Bacilli; Lactobacillales; Lactobacillaceae.
ACUGAUCGGCCACAAUGGGACUGAGACACGGCCCAUACUCCUACGGGAGGCAGCAGUAGGGAAUCUUCCACAAUGGGCGCAAGCCUGAUGGAGCAACACCGCGUGAGUGAAGAAGGGUUUCGGCUCGUAAAGCUCUGUUGUUAAAGAAGAACACGUAUGAGAGUAACUGUUCAUACGUUGACGGUAUUUAACCAGAAAGUCACGGCUAACUACGUGCCAGCAGCCGCGGUAAUACGUAGGUGGCAAGCGUUAUCCGGAUUUAUUGGGCGUAAAGAGAGUGCAGGCGGUUUUCUAAGUCUGAUGUGAAAGCCUUCGGCUUAACCGGAGAAGUGCAUCGGAAACUGGAUAACUUGAGUGCAGAAGAGGGUAGUGGAACUCCAUGUGUAGCGGUGGAAUGCGUAGAUAUAUGGAAGAACACCAGUGGCGAAGGCGGCUACCUGGUCUGCAACUGACGCUGAGACUCGAAAGCAUGGGUAGCGAACAGGAUUAGAUACCCUGGUAGUCCAUGCCGUAAACGAUGAGUGCUAGGUGUUGGAGGGUUUCCGCCCUUCAGUGCCGGAGCUAACGCAUUAAGCACUCCGCCUGGGGAGUACGACCGCAAGGUUGAAACUCAAAGGAAUUGACGGGGGCCCGCACAAGCGGUGGAGCAUGUGGUUUAAUUCGAAGCUACGCGAAGAACCUUACCAGGUCUUGACAUCUUGCGCCAACCCUAGAGAUAGGGCGUUUCCUUCGGGAACGCAAUGACAGGUGGUGCAUGGUCGUCGUCAGCUCGUGUCGUGAGAUGUUGGGUUAAGUCCCGCAACGAGCGCAACCCUUGUUACUAGUUGCCAGCAUUAAGUUGGGCACUCUAGUGAGACUGCCGGUGACAAACCGGAGGAAGGUGGGGACGACGUCAGAUCAUCAUGCCCCUUAUGACCUGGGCUACACACGUGCUACAAUGGACGGUACAACGAGUCGCGAACUCGCGAGGGCAAGCAAAUCUCUUAAAACCGUUCUCAGUUCGGACUGCAGGCUGCAACUCGCCUGCACGAAGUCGGAAUCGCUAGUAAUCGCGGAUCAGCAUGCCGCGGUGAAUA